This is a long non-coding RNA of Vitis vinifera (wine grape), 289 nucleotides long. RefSeq lists it as uncharacterized. Lineage: Eukaryota; Viridiplantae; Streptophyta; Magnoliopsida; Vitales; Vitaceae. The transcript is spliced from 2 exons. The record is from RefSeq and is a predicted model, not a curated record.
UUUCCAGAAACUUCCCUGGUCGUUUCUCCAUUUAUGGUGCGGACACUCCUGAAUAAAGUCAAAUCCCUAACAGUAAAAAUUGCUUCUAUUUAUGGAGAUGUUUGGCCGAGAAGUUGUCAAUUAUCCAUUCCAAGAUGAUGUUCCACAAGGCAAAGGCAGGCUUGGAAGCAUCCAAAGCAAGAAGGCCAACCAAAAGUUAUCAUAUGUUUUUCUUUUUUGAACUUUUCUAAAAUCAAACACAACAUAAAUAGAAAUUGAUUAUAAUAAAAAUUUACUCUUAUAUUUAUUA